Molecule: long non-coding RNA, 273 nt
Filed under: Vigna radiata
Lineage: Eukaryota; Viridiplantae; Streptophyta; Magnoliopsida; Fabales; Fabaceae
Description: long non-coding RNA (VRAD_LNC014991)
Source: RNAcentral
GGGGUUCCGUGGAAUAUACGGUCGGCAUCGGCUGCAGGCAAUUCGGUGCCUGGAGGAACCACCGCCCGGCGGGGCUCAGGGACCGCAAGAGGGAUUGCUUCAACGGGAGGAAGCUCCUCCGAGGUCGGAGCAUCGUAACUGGAACCUGAAGAGGACGAACUCCCAGACCGGCUGCCUUCGCUAUCACUCGCCACUCUACCGCCACCGCCACCGCGACCCGACGACUCCAGAGAAGACUCGAUGGUAACAAUAAAAUCCAUUUUAUUACCUGGG